Molecule: ribosomal RNA, 497 nt
Filed under: uncultured bacterium
Lineage: Bacteria
Description: partial 16S ribosomal RNA
Rfam family: Bacterial small subunit ribosomal RNA
Source: RNAcentral
GAUGAACGCUGGCGGCGUGCCUAAUACAUGCAAGUCGAGCGAACGGACGAGAAGCUUGCUUUUCUGAUGUUAGCGGCGGACGGGUGAGUAACACGUGGAUAACCUACCUAUAAGACUGGGAUAACUUCGGGAAACCGUAGCUAAUACCGGAUAAUAUUUUGAACCGCAUGGUUCAAAAGUGAAAGACGGUCUUGCUGUCACUUAUAGAUGGAUCCGCGCUGCAUUAGCUAGUUGGUAGGGUAACGGCUUACCAAGGCAACGAUGCAUAGCCGACCUGAGAGGGUGAUCGGCCACACUGGAACUGAGACACGGUCCAGACUCCUACGGGAGGCAGCAGUAGGGAAUCUUCCGCAAUGGGCGAAAGCCUGACGGGGCAACGCCGCGUGAGUGAUGAAGGUCUUCGGAUCGUAAAACUCUGUUAUUAGGGAAGAACAUAUGUGUAAGUAACUGUGCACAUCUUGACGGUACCUAAUCAGAAAGCCACGGCUAACUACGUG